UGGGGAAUUUUGGACAAUGGGCGCAAGCCUGAUCCAGCCAUGCCGCGUGCGGGAAGAAGGCCUUCGGGUUGUAAACCGCUUUUGGCAGGAACGAAACGGCGCGGGCUAAUACCCAGCGUUAAUGACGGUACCUGCAGAAUAAGCACCGGCUAACUACGUGCCAGCAGCCGCGGUAAUACGUAGGGUGCGAGCGUUAAUCGGAAUUACUGGGCGUAAAGCGCGCGUAGGUGGUCAAGGCAGUCAGCUGUGAAAGCCCCGGGCUUAACCUGGGAAUGGCAGUUGAGACUUCUUGACUGGAGUGUGAGCGAGGACCGUGGAAUUCCCGGUGUAGCAGUGAAAUGCGUAGAUAUCAGGAGGAACACCGGUGGCGAAAGCGCUCAUCUGGCCCGAUACUGACGCUGAGGCGCGAAAGCUAGGGGAGCAAACGGGAUUAGAUACCCCGGUAGUCCUAGCCGUAAACGGUGAGCACUAGGUGUUGGAGGCAUCGACCCCUCCAGUGCCGCAGCUAACGCAUUAAGUGCUCCGCCUGGGGAGUACGGCCGCAAGGUUG
Molecule: ribosomal RNA, 550 nt
Filed under: uncultured bacterium
Lineage: Bacteria
Description: bacterial SSU rRNA
Rfam family: Bacterial small subunit ribosomal RNA
Source: RNAcentral